RNAcentral lists this ribosomal RNA (497 nucleotides) under uncultured bacterium. Its description in RNAcentral is "partial 16S ribosomal RNA". It matches the Rfam family "Bacterial small subunit ribosomal RNA", at positions 28 to 507 of the family's 1533-position model. The record is from RNAcentral.
GAUGAACGCUGGCGGCGUGCCUAAUACAUGCAAGUCGAGCGAACGGACGAGAAGCUUGCUUCUCUGAUGUUAGCGGCGGACGGGUGAGUAACACGUGGAGAACCUACCUAUAAGACUGGGAUAACUUCGGGAAACCGGAGCUAAUACCGGAUAAUAUUUUGAACCGCAGGGUUCAAAAGUGAAAGACGGUCUUGCUGUCGAUGAUAGAUGGAUCCGCGCUGCAUUAGCUAGUUGGUAAGGUAACGGCUUACCAAGGCAACGAUGCAUAGCCGACCUGAGAGGGUGAUCGGCCACACUGGAACUGAGACACGGUCCAGACUCCUACGGGAGGCCGCAGUAGGGACUCUUCCGCAAUGGGCGAAAGCCUGACGGAGCAACGCCGCGUGAGUGAUGAAGGUCUUCGGAUCGUAAAACUCUGUUAUUAGGGAAGAACAUAUGUGUAAGUAACUGUGCACAUCUUGACGGUACCUAAUCAGAAAGCCACGGCUAACUACGUG